RNAcentral lists this ribosomal RNA (374 nucleotides) under uncultured Glomeromycotina. RNAcentral describes it as "LSU rRNA". The record is from RNAcentral. Lineage: Eukaryota; Fungi; Glomeromycota.
UUGAAAGGGAAACGAUUGAAGUCAGUCGUACCAGCGGGAAAUCAACCUUUCGAGUGGGGGUUUGGGAGUUUUGAAGAGUUUCAAAACCUUCGAGAUUUCAAAAAUUUCGCUCUUUUGGUGUACUUUCUCGUGGGUAGGUUAACAUCGAUUUUGAUCAUCAUAAAAAGAUUGGAGGAAUGUAGCUUCGAUCUUGUAUUGAAGUGUUAUAGCCUUUGGUAAAUGUGAUGAUUAGGAUCGAGGAUUGCAACGAAUACCCUUUUGGGCUAUCCGCCUGAUCUCUGAUACGUGGCCUUGGUAUCGAAAGCUUGCUUAUGGUUUAAGGUAUUACGGUCAAAAGGUUAGAACGGAUUACAUUCGUUAAGGAUGUUGACGUA